This 23-nucleotide microRNA is filed under the name Gorilla gorilla (western gorilla). RNAcentral's name for it is "ggo-miR-3615". RNAcentral also lists the same sequence under 1 other name. Lineage: Eukaryota; Metazoa; Chordata; Mammalia; Primates; Hominidae. The record is from miRBase by way of RNAcentral.
UCUCUCCGCUCCUCGCGGCUCGC